CCUCCGAAGUUUCCUUCAGGAUAGCUGGCACUCUCGCAUGACCACCCAGUUUUAUCUGGUAAAGCGAAUGAUUAGAGGUCUCGGGGCCAAAACGAUCUCAAC
This 102-nucleotide microRNA precursor is filed under the name Sorex araneus (European shrew). Its description in RNAcentral is "miRNA (ENSSARG00000020226.1)". It matches the Rfam family "Eukaryotic large subunit ribosomal RNA", at positions 958 to 1051 of the family's 3401-position model. The record is from RNAcentral. Lineage: Eukaryota; Metazoa; Chordata; Mammalia; Eulipotyphla; Soricidae.